This 89-nucleotide transfer RNA is filed under the name Faecalibacterium prausnitzii. RNAcentral describes it as "tRNA-Leu". It matches the Rfam family "tRNA". Rfam says of the family: Transfer RNA (tRNA) molecules are approximately 80 nucleotides in length. Their secondary structure includes four short double-helical elements and three loops (D, anti-codon, and T loops). Lineage: Bacteria; Bacillati; Bacillota; Clostridia; Eubacteriales; Oscillospiraceae. The record is from RNAcentral.
GCCGCUAUGGUGAAAUCAGGCUAGACACAUCGAACUUAAGAUUCGACGGUAGUAAUAUCAUCUGGGUUCGAAUCCCAGUAGCGGCACCA